UGGGGAAUAUUGGACAAUGGGCGCAAGCCUGAUCCAGCAAUGCCGCGUGUGUGAAGAAGGCCUGCGGGUUGUAAAGCACUUUCAGUGGGGAGGAACGACUUCAACCUAAUACGUUGAGGAGAUGACGUUACCCACAGAAGAAGCACCGGCUAACUCUGUGCCAGCAGCCGCGGUAAUACAGAGGGUGCAAGCGUUAAUCGGAAUUACUGGGCGUAAAGGGUGCGUAGGUGGUUUGGUAAGUUAGGUGUGAAAGUCCCGGGCUUAACCUGGGGAUUGCGCCUGAUACUGUCAGACUAGAGUACUGUAGAGGAAAGUGGAAUUUCCGGUGUAGCGGUGAAAUGCGUAGAUAUCGGAAGGAACACCAGUGGCGAAGGCGACUUUCUGGACAGAUACUGACACUGAGGCACGAAAGCAUGGGGAGCAAACAGG
Molecule: ribosomal RNA, 429 nt
Filed under: uncultured bacterium
Lineage: Bacteria
Description: bacterial SSU rRNA
Rfam family: Bacterial small subunit ribosomal RNA
Source: RNAcentral